GAUGAACGCUGGCGGCGUGCCUAAUACAUGCAAGUCGAGCGAACAGACGAGGAGCUUGCUCCUCUGACGUUAGCGGCGGACGAGUGAGUAGCACGUGGAUAACCUACCUAUAAGACUGGGAUAACUUCGGGAAACCGGAGCUAAUACCGGAUAAUAUAUUGAACCGCAUGGUUCAAUAGUGAAAGACGGUUUUGCUGUCACUUAUAGAUGGAUCCGCGCCGCAUUAGCUAGUUGGUAAGGUAACGGCUUACCAAGGCAACGAUGCGUAGCCGACCUGAGAGGGUGAUCGGCCACACUGGAACUGAGACACGGUCCAGACUCCUACGGGAGGCAGCAGUAGGGAAUCUUCCGCAAUGGGCGAAAGCCUGACGGAGCAACGCCGCGUGAGUGAUGAAGGUCUUCGGAUCGUAAAACUCUGUUAUUAGGGAAGAACAAAUGUGUAAGUAACUAUGCACGUCUUGACGGUACCUAAUCAGAAAGCCACGGCUAACUACGUG
Molecule: ribosomal RNA, 497 nt
Filed under: uncultured bacterium
Lineage: Bacteria
Description: partial 16S ribosomal RNA
Rfam family: Bacterial small subunit ribosomal RNA
Source: RNAcentral